GACGAACGCUGGCGGCGUGCCUAAUACAUGCAAGUCGAACGCUGAAGGAGGAGCUUGCUUCUCCGGAUGAGUUGCGAACGGGUGAGUAACGCGUAGGUAACCUGCCUGGUAGCGGGGGAUAACUAUUGGAAACGAUAGCUAAUACCGCAUAAGAGUAGAUGUUGCAUGACAUUUGCUUAAAAGGUGCAAUUGCAUCACUACCAGAUGGACCUGCGUUGUAUUAGCUAGUUGGUGAGGUAACGGCUCACCAAGGCGACGAUACAUAGCCGACCUGAGAGGGGGAUCGGCCACACUGGGACUGAGACACGGCCCAGACUCCUACGGGAGGCAGCAGUAGGGAAUCUUCGGCAAUGGACGGAAGUCUGACCGAGCAACGCCGCGUGAGUGAAGAAGGUUUUCGGAUCGUAAAGCUCUGUUGUAAGAGAAGAACGAGUGUGAGAGUGGAAAGUUCACACUGUGACGGUAUCUUACCAGAAAGAGACGGCUAACUACGUG
RNAcentral lists this ribosomal RNA (495 nucleotides) under uncultured bacterium. Its description in RNAcentral is "partial 16S ribosomal RNA". It matches the Rfam family "Bacterial small subunit ribosomal RNA", at positions 28 to 507 of the family's 1533-position model. The record is from RNAcentral.